UCCCUUCUUCGACCUGAAGCGACACUUUCCUGUGCUCUAGGAGGACUUGGGUCUUGUGAGAGUCGCCCUUUGCUCCUGGAGUCGUCUCACAAGGCCGUUCACUCCCUGCUUUCUUCAAAAAAAGAACCUGCAGGCGACACACCAAGGACUCCACGAGGGAGUCCUGAGUACUGGAGCGAGUUGCGGCCACGCGGCCGCAGCUCACCACUGGCCUAGAGAUGCCCUUUGCGAGGCGGCAGCAACUGACAAGAUGGUCGCGGGUCGCCGGGUCCGGAGCCGCCCACCAGGUUGCCAGGAGGAGGCGGGAGCGGGGAGGCGCCCGAGGUGAGACAGGGGCACCCUCUGCAUCAUAAAGGACCCAGACCCCGGCACCCUCAACAUCAUAAGGAAUCAGACGGAUGCGGAAACCGAGACGGGCUGGAUAGGAAACUCUUUCCAGGAAGGCUCCGGGGCACUCAACUGGUCUCCAACCUUCCCCUGCAACCUGUGACGCCUGCCAUUUUCCCAUUUUAGGCGAUGGCAACGCAACCCCUCCGUUUGCUCUGGGCAAAACUUCGAGAGUUCCCUCUGAAGCUGGAGCUUUUUCCUCAGAUCCAAGAUCCAAUUGGUCACCAAUUCGUGAUUUCCGUCGGCCAAGUGCGUGGGCAUUGAUCUACACGCGAGUUUCUCCACCUCUGCCGAAUGGCUACUUCGGGGUGGGGGAGGGGCCCUCCCGCCGUGGAUUGCAAGGUGUUUAGCAGCAUCUGUCUCCUCCGCUGACUAGACACAUGCCAGGGGGAUAACAUUCUCCCUCCCGCUUCCCCCAGCCGCGGCCUAGUGUCCCAGCGGGGUUGGGAGAGGCAUGUGAGGGCGAAGUUGCCCCCUGUUGAGAACCAUUGCUGCGCGUAGUCCUUCUCUCUGAACUUGUGCAGAGGACUCUCCAGGUGAAGGCUCAAGGGUGGAUCCAGCUCGAGACACCCUCGCUCCCCCUCACAGUCGGACCUUAGGAUUUAGGCUUUAACAUCUCCACAUCAUGAGAUUCGAAACCUUUAGGUCUUGUCUUCCGUUCUGUCCUCCAAAUCGGCCUCUUCCGAGCCUGUUGACCAGGGCCAGCCGGGCAGAGGGCUGGGCUCGCUCAACGAGGCUCCUCUCGCACCUCCUGGAGCUUCAGGCUUCUUUCCGUUGCAGAGAAGCUUUAUGGGCCAAUUCGUUCGGCAUCCCCGGGGGCAGGUGCGCGGUGCGCGGGGAAGAAGAGGAUUUGACUGCGGUUCUCCACCCCCGGCGCCCAACCUCCACCCCGGUGCGCGCGCUCUUCCAGGCUCCUGCUGGUCCCACUUGCCAGGAGUUAGGUCUCAGGUCAGCCUGAGCUCCUGAGACGCCCAGGCCCGGAAAGACACGUAGGGGAAACCAUCUGCUCACUUCUGUCCUGUCCGGAAGGGAUCCCUUUCUGACGGGAAAGAAAGGCGGUGAGUCCUGUCCUGUUGAGUAGGCGGAAGAGAGAUCAAAGGGAAGACAAGAAAAAUCCUGUGAGUUUUCAGGAUCUAAAGUUACCAUGAGGUCGACCUAACCUCCUCUGGAGGUCCUCCCGGUCCUCCCGUGGCUGUCGAAGGUGAAUCUAGCUUCCGUCUCCAGUUCGCCAAGGCGGACAAAGCCGACGACAAUGGGCCUGUCCACUAUCUUCUUUCAUAUGCACAAAAUGUCAGCUCUUCUUGUUUCUAACUUGCAACAUCCCACCUGAUGACCAGCUCAGCAAAUUAGAGACCCUCCAUGGGAUUCCAUCUCUGUCUUAGUUCGGGCUUCCAUAACUAUAUACCAUAAACUGGGUGGCUAAUUCACGACAGAAAUUUAUUUCUCACAGUUCUGGAGGUUGGAAGUCCGAGAUCAAGGUGCCAACAUGCUAAACAAGCACUGGCCUUGAGAUAAGCAAUGCUGAAGCACUUGCAGCUCACCUAUUACCAUAAACUGACUGAGCCCUCCCUACACAAGCCGUAACUACUGCUUUGAUUGGACAAGAGACUGAUUUCAGUAGUUUUCUCUUGAUAAGAGACCACUGGCCGUGGGCGGGUUCUGGACAGUUUACAGAAGCUAUGCACUUGAUUGCCUUUGUGUCCCUGCUUCACCUUUUGAAGCAUAGGGCCUAAUUAUAAUGUAUUUAAAUGUUGUCUCCACCCCAAAGUGAACAUGGGUUGCAUGUAACAGGCAUGUUUACUCAGCAUGCAUGCAGCAGGAUCCCUUCACAAAUAUUCAGAGCUCCCCCUAUUCCCUGUUGAAUAUGUAUAUGUGGCCAGCCAGAUCAACGUAAAUCACUAUUCGCCCUCCCCUCCCUGGAAACCUACUUUUCGGGUUUCAGCAGGAAGCUAUGCCUCCCAGUCUGUCAGAAUGGCCACUUGCAGGCUGUAACCCUUUAUAAAAAAAUAAAAUCUCCUUUCUAAAUUU
RNAcentral lists this long non-coding RNA (2415 nucleotides) under Homo sapiens (human). Its description in RNAcentral is "HSALNT0295628". The record is from RNAcentral. Lineage: Eukaryota; Metazoa; Chordata; Mammalia; Primates; Hominidae.